GAGGAGGUAGUCUAAAAAAGACAACUGAUUUCGGCUCAGUUAAUUAUGGUUCAAGUCCAUACCCCCUCU
This 69-nucleotide transfer RNA is filed under the name Trachycephalus coriaceus (Surinam golden-eyed treefrog). Its description in RNAcentral is "tRNA-Arg". It matches the Rfam family "tRNA". From Rfam's summary of the family: Transfer RNA (tRNA) molecules are approximately 80 nucleotides in length. Their secondary structure includes four short double-helical elements and three loops (D, anti-codon, and T loops). Lineage: Eukaryota; Metazoa; Chordata; Amphibia; Anura; Hylidae. The record is from RNAcentral.